GAAGAGGCCUUGGUUUGGUGGUAAAGUGUCUGCUUGGGGUACAUAAGGUCUCUGGUUCAAUUCCCGGCAUCUUCA
RNAcentral lists this transfer RNA (75 nucleotides) under Sphaerodactylus townsendi. RNAcentral describes it as "tRNA-Pro". Lineage: Eukaryota; Metazoa; Chordata; Lepidosauria; Squamata; Sphaerodactylidae. The record is from RNAcentral.